Molecule: non-coding RNA, 816 nt
Organism: Ictidomys tridecemlineatus (thirteen-lined ground squirrel)
Lineage: Eukaryota; Metazoa; Chordata; Mammalia; Rodentia; Sciuridae
Source: RefSeq, a predicted model, not a curated record
UGCAAUUCUAAUGCACAGUUAGCGUGGAGAGCGCCGCAUCUGGGGGAAAACACACCCAUGGGCCGAGGAGGGUCAUCUGCAGGGCCGAGAGCUGUCCCUCCACCUGGUCUUCUAGUCGGCUUCCUGUCUCUCGCUCCCCUCCCCAGCCCUGCCCUGGAGAGUCAUUCGGAAGUCGACCCAGAGCGGAGAAUGGACAGCCGGUCAUGUGCCUGGAUGUCCAGGAGAUGCCCUGGCUGCUCUUCGGCUCUGCUGGGCAUGAAGCCCAAGACCUCACACGUGCUAGAAUGAAAGGCUUGUUUGGGUCCCCAGGACAGAGAUGACAAGACAGGGACAGGAAACCAACAGAACGGUGACUGCUUUCCGCUUGGCCCCAGACGCAAGCAGCUGCAAAAGCUCAAAGUCAGAAAUGAGGUUCACGUAGGUGACGCCGCCGUCCCCAGUCGGGGAGAUGGAAUACUCCCACCGCCUCCGGGCUAGAGGGCCCUUGAGGAUAAGGGACACUCAGCAGCCUUCCUAGGCCAGCAGCAGCGGGAGUGAGAGGACCCCAGGCCCGUCCUAGAGGGCAUGUUCUGGCUGCUCUUCUGCUCCUUCCAGCCCUGUCCAGAGGAACUUGGCUGUUUUCCAUCCUGUGAACGAUUUUAACUGGAAAUAAAAAAAAAAUAGGUUCUGUUGAAAUUGUAUCAUGUUUUCUCAUGAAUGGGGGUAAAAUGGAAACCAGGGAGACUGGCUUAGAAGCAGUUGAUCCUGAUUAAGUGAGAAGUCAGUGAGGCCCCAAAGUCGGCAGCCGUAGAAUGGAAAAGUGGAGGUGGAGUGAAA